UGAAGAUAAUCAAUGUGAAUAAGCUAACAUCUACUGGUUGCCGCGUCAAAAUAUGGUUUGGCUUGUUUCCUAAUUUCCAAUUGGCCGAUGAAGAGCUCUCGGAGUACAAAAAGCACAGUUAUGGCAUGGCACCGAAGAGAAUUGAAUGCAGUUUUCUCAGCAGUGCCUGCCCUUGAGCUUUCAAUGUCCAAGGAGCAUCACAGAUUCCAUUGUGCACGAUGUAGAGUUCCGUGGCAUAUAGAAGGUGGUAAACUUCUUUUGGAGCUAAAUAGAGUAUUGAGUUGUGGCCAGCCAAACUGACCAAAGUGCCUUAUUGGUUGUCGAGUUCCCAAGUUGGAGUUUAUGGAAAGCCAGCCCCUCAAGAUUUCACUGCUGAUUAUGAACAUUGGAAACGUGUAAUGUCCAAGGCUUAUCUAGACGGGAUGGGAAUUAAAUGGUCAAAUGUACGCAAUGUCAUUGAUAUGAGAUCUAUCUAUGGAGGGAUCUCAUCUCAAGGGCGUAUGCUGGUUAUUGUAGCCUGCUGUACAAUUAAUUGUUGGGAUUAGUCAUGUAUCUUGGGUUUCUUUGCCUUUUUUCAUUGGUAG
Glycine soja is the source of this 584-nucleotide long non-coding RNA. RefSeq lists it as uncharacterized. The record is from RefSeq and is a predicted model, not a curated record. Lineage: Eukaryota; Viridiplantae; Streptophyta; Magnoliopsida; Fabales; Fabaceae. The transcript is spliced from 4 exons.